RNAcentral lists this transfer RNA (72 nucleotides) under Sarcophilus harrisii (Tasmanian devil). It matches the Rfam family "tRNA". From Rfam's summary of the family: Transfer RNA (tRNA) molecules are approximately 80 nucleotides in length. Their secondary structure includes four short double-helical elements and three loops (D, anti-codon, and T loops). Lineage: Eukaryota; Metazoa; Chordata; Mammalia; Dasyuromorphia; Dasyuridae. The record is from Rfam by way of RNAcentral.
UCCCUGGUGGUCUAGUGGCUAGGAUUCGGCGCUUUCACCGCCGUGGCCAGGGUUCGAUUCCUGGUCAGGGAA